GAUCAUUACAGUGCCAGCGGGAGCGUCGCGGCCGUCCCCCCCAACCCGGGGGGCCGUGUUCGAUCGGCGCCCUGCGACCGGCCCCACACUUGUCUACAGACCGCGUUGCCUCGGCGGGCCCGCCGCUUAGUCGGCCGCCGGGGGGGACUAAAUCUCCCCCCUGGUCAGCGCCCGCCGGAGGACCGAUCGAAAUAUCUUUUUUUAACGAGUUGCAGUCUGAGCGAUAAUCGCAAAUGAAUCAAAACUUUCAACAAUGGAUCUCUUGGUUCCGGCAUCGAUGAAGAACGCAGCGAAAUGCGAUAAGUAAUGUGAAUUGCAGAAUUCCGUGAAUCAUCGAAUCUUUGAACGCACAUUGCGCCCUCUGGUAUUCCGGGGGGCAUGCCUGUCCGAGCGUCAUUGCAACCCUCAAGCACGGCUUGUGUUAUGGGCUUCCCGUCCCGCUAUCUCAGUGGACGAGCCCGAAAUGCAGUGAUCGCCGCCGCGAUACCGGCGCCCGAGCGAAUGGGAAUUUACACCAAAGCUCAGUGGGCCCGGCCGGCAGUUUCGGUCCUACAACCAUUUUUUUCUAAGGUUGACCUCGGAUCAGGUAGGGAUACCCGCUGAACUUAAGCAUAUC
RNAcentral lists this unclassified non-coding RNA (616 nucleotides) under Chrysosporium carmichaelii. RNAcentral describes it as "sequence contains 18S rRNA gene, ITS1, 5.8S rRNA gene, ITS2, 28S rRNA gene". The stretch from base 243 to 396 matches the Rfam family "5.8S ribosomal RNA". Lineage: Eukaryota; Fungi; Ascomycota; Eurotiomycetes; Onygenales; Onygenaceae. The record is from RNAcentral.